This 468-nucleotide ribosomal RNA is filed under the name uncultured bacterium. RNAcentral describes it as "partial 16S ribosomal RNA". It matches the Rfam family "Bacterial small subunit ribosomal RNA", at positions 28 to 507 of the family's 1533-position model. The record is from RNAcentral.
GACGAACGCUGGCGGCGUGCUUAACACAUGCAAGUCGAACGGAAAGGCCCUGCUUUUGUGGGUUGCCGGAGGGGCAAACGGGUGAGUAACCGGUGAGUAACUUGCCUUGGCCUUUGGGUAACCUUCAGGAACCUGGGGUAAUUACCGGUUGGGGCUCCCUCCUGCUGGGUGGGGGUGGAAAGGUUUCGGCGGUUGGGGAUGGACUCGCGGCUUAUCAGCUUGUUGGUGGGGUAGUGGCUUACCAAGGCUUUGACGGGUAGCCGGCCUGAGAGGGUGACCGGCCACAUUGGGACUGAGAUACGGCCCAGACUCCUACGGGAGGCAGCAGUGGGGAAUAUUGCACAAUGGGCGGAAGCCUGAUGCAGCAACGCCGCGUGCGGGAUGACGGCCUUCGGGUUGUAAACCGCUUUCGCCUGUGACGAAGCGUGAGUGACGGUAAUGGGUAAAGAAGCACCGGCUAACUACGUG